UACGGAGGGUGCAAGCGUUAUCCGGAUUUACUGGGUUUAAAGGGUGCGUAGGUGGGUCGGGUAGUCAGUGGUGAAAUACUUUCGCUUAACGAAGGAACUGCCAUUGAUACUCCCAAUCUUGAAUGUAGUGGAGGUAGGCGGAAUGCGUCAUGUAGCGGUGAAAUGCUUAGAUAUGACGCAGAACACCAAUUGCGAAGGCAGCUUGCUACACUACUAUUGACACUGAGGCACGAAAGCGUGGGGAUCAAACAGG
RNAcentral lists this ribosomal RNA (253 nucleotides) under uncultured bacterium. RNAcentral describes it as "partial 16S ribosomal RNA". It matches the Rfam family "Bacterial small subunit ribosomal RNA", at positions 524 to 776 of the family's 1533-position model. The record is from RNAcentral.